GACCUUUUCUCAUACACACCUCCAACACGUUUUUGGCAGAUAGAACACCAACACUUGUAAUAAUUUCUAUGACCCUGGUGGAAUGUCCCGAAUGUUGAUAGUCUAUUUAUUGAUAUACUGUAUGUUAAAUAAUAUGAUUUUAGGUGCUGUUUUAGGCUGAUAAAAUCCCCAGUAGGGAGUAAUAUUUUAGGUGCUGUUUUAGGCUGAUAAAAUCCCCAGUAGGGAGUAAUAUUUUAGGUGCUGUUUUAGGCUGAUAAAAUCCCCAGUAGGGAGUAAUGAGUCACUUAUUAUUUUAUAUGAAUGAGUAACAAGUUAUUGACCAAUCGGAAGCCUCGUGCUGUGCAAUACUAUUACUUCUCCCUUUUGUC
Molecule: long non-coding RNA, 368 nt
Filed under: Salmo salar (Atlantic salmon)
Lineage: Eukaryota; Metazoa; Chordata; Actinopteri; Salmoniformes; Salmonidae
Description: lncRNA (ENSSSAG00000104787.1)
Source: RNAcentral